UCUUCCGCAAUGGACGAAAGUCUGACGGAGCAACGCCGCGUGAGUGAUGAAGGUUUUCGGAUCGUAAAACUCUGUUGUUAGGGAAGAACAAGUACCGUUCGAAUAGGGCGGCACCUUGACGGUACCUAACCAGAAAGCAACGGCUAACUACGUGCAAGCAGCCGCGGGAAUACGUAGGUGGCAAGCGUUGCCCGGAAUUAUUGGGCGUAAAGCGCGCGCAGGCGGUUUCUUCAGUCUGAUGUGCAAGCCCCCGGCUCAACCGGGGAGGGUCAUUGGAAACUGGGGAACUUGAGUGCAGAAGAGGAGGGUGGAAUUCCACGUGUAGCGGUGAAAUGCGUAGAGAUGUGGAGGAACACCAGUGGCGAAGGCGACUCUCUGGUCUGUAACUGACGCUGAGGCGCGAAUGCGUGGGGAGCGAACAG
RNAcentral lists this ribosomal RNA (422 nucleotides) under uncultured bacterium. RNAcentral describes it as "bacterial SSU rRNA". It matches the Rfam family "Bacterial small subunit ribosomal RNA", at positions 362 to 775 of the family's 1533-position model. The record is from RNAcentral.